RNAcentral lists this ribosomal RNA (253 nucleotides) under uncultured bacterium. RNAcentral's name for it is "partial 16S ribosomal RNA". It matches the Rfam family "Bacterial small subunit ribosomal RNA", at positions 524 to 776 of the family's 1533-position model. The record is from RNAcentral.
UACGUAGGGGCCGAGCGUUGUCCGGAGUUAUUGGGCGUAAAGCGCGCGCAGGCGGCCUCGCGCGCCCGACGUGAAAGCCCCCGGCUUAACCGGGGAGGGUCGUUGGGGACGGCGGGGCUUGAGGGCGGGAGAGGGUGGUGGAAUUCCCGGUGUAGUGGUGAAAUGCGUAGAGAUCGGGAGGAACACCCGUGGCGAAGGCGGCCACCUGGGCCGACCCUGACGCUGAGGCGCGAAGACGUGGGGAGCGAACGGG